UGUGAGCUCGAUGAGUAGGGCGGGACACGUGGUAUCCUGUCUGAAUAUGGGGGGACCAUCCUCCAAGGCUAAAUACUCCUGACUGACCGAUAGUGAACCAGUACCGUGAGGGAAAGGCGAAAAGAACCCCGGCGAGGGGAGUGAAAAAGAACCUGAAACCGUGUACGUACAAGCAGUGGGAGCACGCUUAGGCGUGUGACUGCGUACCUUUUGUAUAAUGGGUCAGCGACUUAUAUUCUGUAGCAAGGUUAACCGAAUAGGGGAGCCGAAGGGAAACCGAGUCUUAACUGGGCGUUAAGUUGCAGGGUAUAGACCCGAAACCCGGUGAUCUAGCCAUGGGCAGGUUGAAGGUUGGGUAACACUAACUGGAGGACCGAACCGACUAAUGUUGAAAAAUUAGCGGAUGACUUGUGGCUGGGGGUGAAAGGCCAAUCAAACCGGGAGAUAGCUGGUUCUCCCCGAAAGCUAUUUAGGUAGCGCCUCGUGAAUUCAUCUCCGGGGGUAGAGCACUGUUUCGGCAAGGGGGUCAUCCCGACUUACCAACCCGAUGCAAACUGCGAAUACCGGAGAAUGUUAUCACGGGAGACACACGGCGGGUGCUAACGUCCGUCGUGAAGAGGGAAACAACCCAGACCGCCAGCUAAGGUCCCAAAGUCAUGGUUAAGUGGGAAACGAUGUGGGAAGGCCCAGACAGCCAGGAUGUUGGCUUAGAAGCAGCCAUCAUUUAAAGAAAGCGUAAUAGCUCACUGGUCGAGUCGGCCUGCGCGGAAGAUGUAACGGGGCUAAACCAUGCACCGAAGCUGCGGCAGCGACGCUUAUGCGUUGUUGGGUAGGGGAGCGUUCUGUAAGCCUGUGAAGGUGUACUGUGAGGUAUGCUGGAGGUAUCAGAAGUGCGAAUGCUGACAUAAGUAACGAUAAAGCGGGUGAAAAGCCCGCUCGCCGGAAGACCAAGGGUUCCUGUCCAACGUUAAUCGGGGCAGGGUGAGUCGACCCCUAAGGCGAGGCCGAAAGGCGUAGUCGAUGGGAAACAGGUUAAUAUUCCUGUACUUGGUGUUACUGCGAAGGGGGGACGGAGAAGGCUAUGUUGGCCGGGCGACGGUUGUCCCGGUUUAAGCGUGUAGGCUGGUUUUCCAGGCAAAUCCGGAAAAUCAAGGCUGAGGCGUGAUGACGAGGCACUACGGUGCUGAAGCAACAAAUGCCCUGCUUCCAGGAAAAGCCUCUAAGCAUCAGGUAACAUCAAAUCGUACCCCAAACCGACACAGGUGGUCAGGUAGAGAAUACCAAGGCGCUUGAGAGAACUCGGGUGAAGGAACUAGGCAAAAUGGUGCCGUAACUUCGGGAGAAGGCACGCUGAUAUGUAGGUGAAGUCCCUCGCGGAUGGAGCUGAAAUCAGUCGAAGAUACCAGCUGGCUGCAACUGUUUAUUAAAAACACAGCACUGUGCAAACACGAAAGUGGACGUAUACGGUGUGACGCCUGCCCGGUGCCGGAAGGUUAAUUGAUGGGGUCAGCGCAAGCGAAGCUCUUGAUCGAAGCCCCGGUAAACGGCGGCCGUAACUAUAACGGUCCUAAGGUAGCGAAAUUCCUUGUCGGGUAAGUUCCGACCUGCACGAAUGGCGUAAUGAUGGCCAGGCUGUCUCCACCCGAGACUCAGUGAAAUUGAACUCGCUGUGAAGAUGCAGUGUACCCGCGGCAAGACGGAAAGACCCCGUGAACCUUUACUAUAGCUUGACACUGAACAUUGAGCCUUGAUGUGUAGGAUAGGUGGGAGGCUUUGAAGUGUGGACGCCAGUCUGCAUGGAGCCGACCUUGAAAUACCACCCUUUAAUGUUUGAUGUUCUAACGUUGACCCGUGAUCCGGGUUGCGGACAGUGUCUGGUGGGUAGUUUGACUGGGGCGGUCUCCUCCUAAAGAGUAACGGAGGAGCACGAAGGUUGGCUAAUCCUGGUCGGACAUCAGGAGGUUAGUGCAAUGGCAUAAGCCAGCUUGACUGCGAGCGUGACGGCGCGAGCAGGUGCGAAAGCAGGUCAUAGUGAUCCGGUGGUUCUGAAUGGAAGGGCCAUCGCUCAACGGAUAAAAGGUACUCCGGGGAUAACAGGCUGAUACCGCCCAAGAGUUCAUAUCGACGGCGGUGUUUGGCACCUCGAUGUCGGCUCAUCACAUCCUGGGGCUGAAGUAGGUCCCAAGGGUAUGGCUGUUCGCCAUUUAAAGUGGUACGCGAGCUGGGUUUAGAACGUCGUGAGACAGUUCGGUCCCUAUCUGCCGUGGGCGCUGGAGAACUGAGGGGGGCUGCUCCUAGUACGAGAGGACCGGAGUGGACGCAUCACUGGUGUUCGGGUUGUCAUGCCAAUGGCACUGCCCGGUAGCUAAAUGCGGAAGAGAUAAGUGCUGAAAGCAUCUAAGCACGAAACUUGCCCCGAGAUGAGUUCUCCCUGACUCCUUGAGAGUCCUGAAGGAACGUUGAAGACGACGACGUUGAUAGGCCGGGUGUGUAAGCGCAGCGAUGCGUUGAGCUAACCGGUACUAAUGAACCGUGAGGCUUAACCUU
RNAcentral lists this ribosomal RNA (2547 nucleotides) under Escherichia coli. Its description in RNAcentral is "partial 23S ribosomal RNA". It matches the Rfam family "Bacterial large subunit ribosomal RNA", at positions 398 to 2925 of the family's 2925-position model. Lineage: Bacteria; Pseudomonadati; Pseudomonadota; Gammaproteobacteria; Enterobacterales; Enterobacteriaceae. The record is from RNAcentral. RNAcentral also lists the same sequence under 1 other name.